RNAcentral lists this ribosomal RNA (253 nucleotides) under uncultured bacterium. RNAcentral describes it as "partial 16S ribosomal RNA". It matches the Rfam family "Bacterial small subunit ribosomal RNA", at positions 524 to 776 of the family's 1533-position model. The record is from RNAcentral.
UACGUAGGGUGCAAGCGUUGUUCGGAAUUACUGGGUGUAAAGCGCGCGUAGGCGGGUUUGAAAGUCGAUUGUGAAAUCCCUAGGCUUAACCUGGGAAUUGCAGUCGAAACUCCGAAUCUUGAAUGUCUGAGAGGAUGGCGGAAUAACCGGUGUAGUAGUGAAAUACGUAGAUAUCGGUUAGAACACCUGAGGCGAAGGCGGCUAUCUGGCGGUACAUUGACGCUAAGGCGCGAAAGCGUGGGGAGCAAACAGG